RNAcentral lists this long non-coding RNA (675 nucleotides) under Homo sapiens (human). Its description in RNAcentral is "HSALNT0281966". The record is from RNAcentral. Lineage: Eukaryota; Metazoa; Chordata; Mammalia; Primates; Hominidae.
CUUCAGGUUGUGUGUGUGGUGGCCUGGCAUUCAAUCUGUGAGGUGGAUGCGUGUUGGAAGGACCCCUUUUGGUUUCUUUUUGCUCAGAGCUUUCUUUUAAUAAAUUCCGCUCUCCUCACCUUUCAAUGUGUCCGUAUGCCUAAUUUUUCCUGGUCCUGUGACAAGAACCUGAUUUUAGCUGAACUAAGGAGCGAAAGAUCCUGGAUCAUUUUGGUGACCCAUACUGGUACAUGAGGAAAGACGCCACAAUCAAGAACUCAGAAGGGUAGAAGAAAAAGAUAGUUUCCCUUCCCUACACAGGGUCCAUGCAUUCAGUGGAGUAAUGAUUCCUGUCCAUGAAAAAAAAAAAAGAAAGUAGAAAAUUUCAGAGAAGAGAAAAAUUUUCCACUUGGGAGCAAGGGCAUGAGGGCAGCGGGGAAGUGGUAGAUAUACUGACAUGUUAAUAUAUUAGGUCUUGUAUUUCUUUUGUACAUAGUCUUUCUUCUUUGACUGCCUCGUUCAUGCAUCUCCACUACUUGAAAAAUUAUUUAAUUUACAAGCAUGUGCCAAAGUCCUACAUCAUGCUUCCUCUAAGAUUCUAUGCAAGCCAAUUCAAAGAUUUCUCUCUUAAAAAUAUUUGUAUGAAAAAAAGACAUGGCUAGGAAAUCACUGUUCAGUAGGAUAAAAUAAAAGUGC